UUCAGUGAUGAAAACUGCUGCAUAGGAAGUGCCGUCUGAUGCGAUAACUGACGAUGGCAACUGACGGUGGUCUGAGA
This is a small nucleolar RNA of Toxotes jaculatrix (banded archerfish), 77 nucleotides long. RefSeq annotates it as small nucleolar RNA SNORD49. The record is from RefSeq and is a predicted model, not a curated record. The transcript has a single exon. NCBI's taxonomy places the organism in Eukaryota, Metazoa, Chordata, Actinopteri, Toxotidae.